GAGUUGGGGGACAUCAUUUAAAUACCAUGCCUUCAUCUGUGUGACAAAUGAAGUUGCUAGAGUUUUCAAGAAAAAUGUGAUGCAGCGUGAUCACAUGUAUUCGUGUAAACUAAUGUUUAAAGGCCCCCUCAGAUGAGGAGAUGAGACCACACCAUGGCAGAGCAAAUACCUUAAAUAAAGCUGUUCUGGCUCAUAAAAAAUUUAAUAGGAUUAAAUGCCUUCUGUAAAGCUUCAUACACGUUAUGGUGAUGUCCAAGCAUCAUGUAGAUGACUGAGACAGCACAGAGUGCUGAUCCCCUGCAAAAAAGGCUGCUGUCCUGAGAUUGGGUAUUGGGAGCCUGCUGACCAGCAAAAUGAUAAAUUAGGAUUUUGUUCAAAGACAGCUGGGUCCCGGCUCAUGCCCUCCACCCACAACAUUAAAUGUUUUUCAUGAAAAUGGAAAGAAAGGCUGAGGCAUCACACUGAGUUGCUUUGAAUUUUAUUAAGUUACUUACAUGAAGAGAAUACAGUGGUUGAAACAUUUAUCCAUAAUUCCAGAAGAUGCCAGAAGGGCUGCGGUAUGAGUCAAACCAUAAAAUUAAAACACAGGAGAAGCCACAUGAGACGGACGAGAAAUUAGAUUGCAUAAGUUCCACGAUUCAUUCUGAUAUAUAACUGAGAACAAAAGUAAAGUCUUUUUUUUUUUUUCUAUGUUUUUAGUAUUCACAUGGCACUGAUUUCUGUAAAGCAACUGUGAGCUGGAAGAACACUGCUUCAAAUCCCUAAAUCCUCAGCAGUUAAUUUUCUUUUACUGGAGCUGUGGGAUUUGAAAUAAUGAUUAAAAAUACAGGGGAGAAUGCAUAACCAGAGCUGGGAGUUUAUUCUUAGCUGUAAUGACUAAUAAUUUGUAACUGCUCACACUAAAUGAAGUCUUGUUUGAAAAUGUGUACAUUGUGGAUGAAACAUUGUUACAGAGAAAUGUUCUGAUAUUCUGCAUUGAUCGCUUAAAGCGUUGGUUUGGACUGUUUGAUGGAGAUUGCAAUAAAACCUUGUCCGUCCUCCAGGAAUUCUGCAUCAAAGGGGCUACACAGCAGGUAACACAUAACUGGUCUGAGAUACGAUAGUCAGCUUACUUUUUUCACAGCUUCCAUUGCGUCACUUAAUUCUUCAUUUCUAUGAUUUGUGUUAAAAGCCCAGCAGGUUAAAAAAAAAAAAAAAAAAUGAUUCCAGCUUUUUUUCUCCUGGCUCUCUGAUAUCAAGUAAAAUGUUCAGUAAAAUGAGCUUGAAUCUCGUAGAGUGGGAGGUGUUUGCAUGGAGCUUGUAAAGAGCACAUAAAGGAGAAAGG
Oxyura jamaicensis (ruddy duck) is the source of this 1324-nucleotide long non-coding RNA. RefSeq lists it as uncharacterized. NCBI's taxonomy places the organism in Eukaryota, Metazoa, Chordata, Aves, Anseriformes, Anatidae. The record is from RefSeq and is a predicted model, not a curated record. The transcript is spliced from 5 exons.